AAAAUUUUUGGCCCCAAGCCCACGUAUUCGCUCUCAUUCGCCAUUUUCGUCUCUCAAAUCCCAUCUCUUUCUCCAUUUCUCUCACGCCGAGCUCUUCGCUCAAAAUCUUCAAGACCCAGUUCUUCUUUUCACUCCUCCACCCCUUAAAUUCAAUCCCUCCAUUUCAAUUUUCUCCCCUUUCCUCUACUUCUAACCCAAUUCCCAACACUAUCUCAGCUCAAUUACACAAUCCCUAGUUUCCAUUUCCAACCCUUUUUUUGCAAAAUGGAUUCCUCUACUUUCUGUGCUUAGUCGAACAAGACCCACCUCUGAUUUCACGUUUCUUCCAUCCCCUGUUAAUCGCAAUCUGUGUUGGGGGUGGGAUUUGAUCUGAAUUGAUGAUUCUUUUCGAAGAGGAAAGUGGUAUUUCUUCAAGAAUCAAGCAAAAUGAAGGGAUAUGCAUGGGUCUGGAGGUGAGAGGUGGAAACAGAGGCGGCACAUGUGGCCGGUCCAUUCUAAUUCGACAGCUGUAGAUUGCGAAUUAUCCGCUCCAGAUUUCUUUCUCAAAGAUGGGCGUAAAAUCCAAGUUGGUGAUUGUGCUCUUUUUAAGCCACCUCUAGAUUCUCCUCCUUUUAUUGGAAUUAUACGUUCACUUAAGUCGGACAAGGAGGCUAAUUUAAGGUUAGAUGUGAAUUGGCUUUACCGGCCUGCUGAUGUAAAACUUCCCAAAGGAAUAUCGUUAGAUGCUGCGCCAAAUGAGAUCUUCUACUCAUUUCAUAAAGAUGAGAUUCCUGCCGCAUCAUUGCUCCAUCCAUGUAAAGUUGCAUUCCUCCGCAAAGGUGUUGAACUUCCAUCGAGCAUUUCCUCAUUUGUGUGCAGAAGAGUGUAUGAUACUGAUAACAAGUGUUUAUGGUGGUUAACUGAUAGAGAUUAUAUUAAUGAACGUCAAGAAGAAGUAGAUCAACUAUUAGAAAAGACAAGGCUAGAAAUGCAUGGGGUGAUGCAGUCUGGAGGCCGUUCACCAAAGCCCUUGAAUGAUUCAGUCCCAGUUGUGCAGCCAAAAUCUGGUUCAGAAAGUGUACCAAAUAGUUCCCUUCUCACUUCACACAUUAAAAGCAAGAAAAGGGAACGGGGUGAUCAGGGGUCUGAACCCACUAAGAGAGAGCGGUUAUUUAAAGCAGAAGAUGGGGAAUUUAGUCAGUUUAGAUCAGAAAGUAUGCUAAAGAAUGAGAUUACAAAAAUUACUGAUAAAGGAGGACUUAUUGACUUUGAGGGGGUUGAAAAAUUUGUCAAACUUAUGCAACCUAACAGUUCUGGUAAGAAAAUAGAUUUGGCUGACCGAAUGAUGCUUGCCGAUGUUAUAGCAGUCACUGAUAGGAUUGAUUGUCUAGAAUGGUUUUUGCAGCUCAGGGGUUUGCCUGUACUAGAUGAAUGGCUUCAAGAAGUUCAUAAGGGAAAAAUUUGUUAUGCCAAUGGCACAAAAGGAAGUGAUAAAACUGUCGAGGAUUUUCUUUUGGCUCUACUUCGUGCUCUGGAUAAACUUCCCGUGAAUCUCGAUGCUCUUCAGACUUGUUACGUUGGCAAGUCUGUGAAUCAUUUACGUACACAUAAGAAUUCUGAAAUUCAGAAGAAAGCAAGGGUUUUGGUAGAUACUUGGAAGAAACGUGUGGAAGCUGAGAUGGAUGUUAAUGAUGCAAAGUCUGAAUCAAGUCGUGGUGUCUCAUGGCCUUCUAAAUGCGAGCCUUUGGAAGUUUCUCAAGUAGGGUGCAGAAAGGCUGGGGGAUCUGGUGAUGAUGGUUUAAAAAGCUCUACACAUUCUAACAUGUUUAAACAUUCUCAACCUAAGUUCAGUCCCACUGAAAUGGUUGUCAAAUCAUCUGUAUCGUCAAGCACCAUAAAGGUUUCUUCAACCAUGGGUGUGUCAUCAAAGGAUUAUAACUUCAAAACACUAGCUGGAAACUCAGAUCUUCCCUUGACUCCGAUUAAGGAGGAAAGGAGCAGCAGUUCCAGUCAGUCCCUAAACAACAGUCAAUCAAGUGAUCAUGCAAAAACUGUGGCAUCUUCAUGCAAAGAAGACACUAGGAGCUCAAAUUCUGGUUCAGGAAGCGUUAGCAAAGUUUCUAGUGGUGCUUCUUUUCAUCGGAAAUCGAGCAAUGGCAUUCAUUUGAAUACUCUCACAGGAACACAGAAAGCAUCUGGUUCUGGAAAACAUAAUGCCGUAAGUAAGGUCUUGACUACUGACAAGGCCUCUACUACAUCACGUGAGAAAUCUCCAGACGCCUCUCUUGUUGAACAUGGGUAUGGUCGAUUUGUUGUAAAGUUACCAAAUACCUGUAGGAAUCCUAUGGGGACUUCUAGGGCUGUCACCGAAGAUCAAGUUGUUUCAAGUCCCAAAGGAUCUCUUCAUGAUGAGGCUGGUGAUAACCAUGAUAAGAAAGCUAAUGACAGAUGUGAAUUGCUUGGGGCUAGUUUUGGAACUGAAGCAAACUCAAACCAAUGCCAUAAGAAAGAUCAAUUUUUCAUCUCAGAGGGCAAAGAGAUAGCUGCCUGCGAUGAACAAUCCAGACUUGCCGAAGCCAAUGAGCUGGAACCUGAAACUAUUGCCUCAUCGACUAGAAUUAUAUCUAGGCCUGGAAAAACUUAUGAUGCUUCUCUAAGCUCCAUAAAUGCGUUGAUUGAAAGCUGCGCGAAAUUUUCUGAGACUAAUACAGCAUCAUCACCAGGGGAUGCUGUAGGGAUGAAUCUUCUUGCUAGCGUGGCUACUGGCGAAAUAUCUAAAUCUAACAAUGCAUCUCCACUGGAUUCUCCCCAGGAACGAUCACCUUUGGCAGAGGAAUCUUCUGCUGCCAAUGAUGGACAAUUGAAAAUUUUGCCUGAAGGAAUAGCCAAGCAUAAAUGCGAUGAAGCUGAUGCUAAUGGCGAGUCUACGGGCUGCACAUCUUCUGAGCCUCUUGGCAGCAAUAAUUUGUUGCAGGAUAGAAAUGUGACCUCAGCUGACUACUCCAGAGAUGGAAGAGGUAUUGCAUUGGGCACUUCAAGGGACUGUAAUAUGCCAUCAAAUGUGCAGCAACACAUGGAAAAGACACCUUUGAAGUCUGAUAUAAAACCUGAUGCUGAAGCAUGCAAUGCCUCUGUAGCUGCCUGUUCUUCAUAUGGUGCAGAAGAAGGUGAUACAGAGAUCGAGGAAAAAGUGGAGGGUGAUAGCUUACCCAGCUCCUUAAUGGAAGAGGGUACCCAACUCCAUGAAAAUGAAAAAAUUGAUCAAACUGAUGAGAGAGCGGAAGAAAAUGGAGUGAUUUUGAAAUCAGAAGUUACUGCCACAACACUUGAAGUGGAAAAGCAAGUGGAUGAAAAGACAUCUUGUUUAUCUUCACAGUUGAGUGGCAGCGCUAUUCAGACUCGUGGGGAUUUAACUAAAGGCUGUCGAGUUGAAGAGAAACUGUCAUCUACACCUGAGAUUCAUGCAGAUUCUCGGGAGGAAAAGGUUGAGAUUGCUGUGGUACUUCCUGUAGGCAAUUCUUUGGAUGCAGAAUUCAAGGAUAAAAAAGAAGAUAUUGUGAAUUCAGAAGUUCAUGUUAAUCAGAUUGGGAAUCAAACACCGAUUCUGGGUCCUCCUAUGUCCGAUCAGAAAGAUGAUUGUGCUGCGCAGGAUUUGGGAAAAACAGACAACAUCAAUAAUUGUUGUGGUGCGGUUUCUAUGCACUUGGAAUCUCCCGCCAUCAUACCCUUGCCAGAAAGUGAUCAGGGUGAAAAAUUAAGUACAAAUACUGAGUUAAUUGGAACCGAAGACCACUUCACCAGUGCUAAUCCUUCACUUUCUGCUGCAAGGUCAGAUACAGUGAUAAAGCUGGACUUCGAUUUAAAUGAAGGUUGUGUUGACGAUGGGAUACCUGAGGAGACUAAUGGAAAUUCAUCUGCUGUUCAGAUGCCUAUUCUCCCACCUUUUCCCAUCCCUUCAGUAUCAGAAAGUUUCCCCAUUUCAAUUACUGUGGCUUCUGCAGCAAAAGGAUCAGUUGUUCCACCAGAAAACUCCCUAGCAAACAAAGUUGAACUUGGAUGGAAGGGUUCAGCUGCUACAAGUGCUUUUCGUCGUGCAGAACCACGAAAAAAUCUUGAAAUGCCACUCAGUUUGAGUGAUGCAUCUCUUGUUACCACCACUAGCAAGGAGGGGCGCCCACCCUUGGACUUUGACCUGAAUGUGCCAGACCAGAGACUCCUAGAAGAAGUUUCUUUGUCCAUUGCACCGCUGAAAGCAAGUCUUGAAUCAGGACCACGUGAUCGAGGUGGUGGACUUGAUCUCGAUUUGAAUAAAGUUGAUGAAAGUAAUGAUAUGGGCCCAUGUUCUGUGAGCAAGAGUAGGUUGGAACUCCCCAUGUCAAGUAGGCCAUACGUUCCUGGUGGAUUAGGCAAUGGUGGAUUCAGUGCCUCCAGAAACUUCGAUUUGAACAAUGGACCAUCCCUUGAUGAAAUGGGGGCUGAAACAGUACCUCCUAGUCAGCAGAAUAAAAGUUACAUGGCAUUUCCAUCACUUCUCCCUGGGGUGAAGGUGAACUCCGGAGAAAUUGGGAACUUCUAUUCUUGGUAUCCUCAGGGGAAUUCGUAUUCGGCAGUAACAACAAUCCCAUCAGUUUUGCCAGGUAGAGGAGAACAAAGUUAUGUUCCUGCUGCUGUUUCUCAGAGAGUAUUUGCUCCCCCGGCUGGCACCGGCUUUGCUGCUGAACUUUAUCAUGCACCAGUAUUUUCUUCCUCUCCUGCUUUGGCAUUUCCACCUACUAACUCCUUUAGUUAUUCUAGGUUCCCUUUUGAAACUAGUUUUCCUCUACAAUCAAACACUUUUUCAGGUUGUUCAACGUCUGACAUGGAAUCAUCCUCUGGUUGUUCGCUUGGAUUCCCUACCAUAACUUCUCAUUUAUUAGGACCUGCUGGGGUAGUCCCUACUCCUUAUCCAAGGCCCUUCAUUAUGAGCUAUCCAAGUGGCAGUGGUACUGUUGGUCCUGAGAUUGGAAAAUGGGGAAGCCAGGGUUUGGAUCUUAAUGCCGGUCAUGGGAUUAUAGAUAAAGAAAGAAUGGAUGAGAAGUUGCCUUUAGCCUUGAGACAACUUUCAGUUCCCAGUCCGCAAACUUUUGCCGAUGAGCAGCUAAAGAUGUUUCAGAUAGGUAGUCACAAGAGAAAAGAACCCGACAGUGGCUUAGAUGCUGCUGACAGGCUAAACUACAAGCAACAAUGAGUGAGGGUGGUAGCAUUUCAUCGUGGUCACAGUCACAAGCCAAAAAAUUAGAAACCGAGAAAAAGAACACAGUAUAGAUGCAUCGUUGAGCAAAUAAUCAAGGACUGUUUAUGAUGGGGCUCGAGUUCCCUUUCAAAUGUUGUAGCGACAUCACGGGUUUUCAGGCAGCCGUUUCCCCCCCCCCUGCUGGACACAUUUUGACAGAUUUGUUUCACUCAAGCAGACAAGGUUUCAUUUGUAAAUAUCUAACUUAAUAGAAGCAUAAGGAAGUUGCUAUCUAGAAACCUGAUGAAUGGUGUCCUCCGACAUGUGGACGAUUUCCAUCCAUUCAGGUAUGCUUUCGAGCCAAUCCUUUCUCUCAAUCCUUUGGAAACAGAACUGAAUGUAAUGACUUACCGAGUUGUGGCCGUCUUUCUCAACGAUGCUCAGCUGUGUUUUCCCUUACACAUGUAGCCAUUACUUCAUUCUUACUGUUAGAUUCUUUUUUAUUGAUAGUAAUACACAGGCCCCCUUUCUCUCAUGGUCGUGAACUGUUUUUUCUCACUCAGUUUUUCCAUUCCACCUUUACAAACCGGAAACAGGAUCCCACCCCAACUUGAAGCCAUCAUUUUAUUUGGUCUUAUCUGUGACUUCUGGAGCUAUCAAUUCAUCUGUUACAAACUAGUUUUUAAUCUUUUGUGAAGAACGAUGCCCCACCUAGAAGAAGACAGCUUCAGAUAUUUACAAAAGUUCUACACUGUCUGAAUUUUGUACAUUGCUAAUCUUGAUGUUUCACUUGUCAAUGACAUUCCAAGGUUUAUAACAUAUAUAUAUAUUCUAUGUUGCUUGUGAA
Cucurbita maxima (winter squash) is the source of this 6038-nucleotide RNA transcript. RefSeq lists it as uncharacterized. The record is from RefSeq and is a predicted model, not a curated record. NCBI's taxonomy places the organism in Eukaryota, Viridiplantae, Streptophyta, Magnoliopsida, Cucurbitales, Cucurbitaceae. The transcript is spliced from 5 exons.